This 769-nucleotide long non-coding RNA is filed under the name Salmo salar (Atlantic salmon). RNAcentral's name for it is "lncRNA (ENSSSAG00000120319.1)". Lineage: Eukaryota; Metazoa; Chordata; Actinopteri; Salmoniformes; Salmonidae. The record is from RNAcentral.
AUGUGAUACUGUACUAAACCCAGCUGACAGAGAGAUAGAGAGAGAUGUGAUACUGUACUAAACCCAGCUGACAGAGAGAUAGAGAGAGAUGUGAUACUGUACUGAACCCAGCUGACAGAGAGCUAGAGAGAGAUGUGAUACUGUACUAAACCCAGCUGACAGAGAGAUAGAGAGAGAUGUGAUACUGUACUAAACCCAGCUGACAGAGAGAUAGAGAGAGAUGUGAUACUGUACUGAACCCAGCUGACAGAGAGAUAGAGAGAGAGAUGUGAUACUGUACUGAACCCAGCUGACAGAGAGAUAGAGAUAGAUGUGAUACUGUACUAAACCCAGCAGACAGAGAGAUAGAGAGAGAUGUGAUACUGUACUGAACCCAGCAGACAGAGAGAAAGAGAGAGAUGUGAUAGUGUACUGAAAACAGCUGACAGGAAGUGGUCAUAGCCACUGACUCGUCUUGCUGUACUGAACAACUGCAGAUAAGACAAGAUACUACACACACACAUACACACACACUCUUGUAGCACACAAAACACACAGAUUAUAGAGCACAUAGAGUACCACACGGUGCAGAACAAAGCACACCCAGACCUUACAGAGCUCUCAUAACAGAGAGAUAGACUGAAGAACAGCGUGACCUUACAAAGCUCUCAUAACAGAUAGAUAGACUGAAGAACAGCGUGACCUUACAGAGCUCUCAUAACAGAGAUAGACUGAAGAACAGCCUGAACUUACAGAGCUCUCAUAACAGAGAGAUAGACUGAAGAACAGC